GACGAACGCUGGCGGCGUGCUUAACACAUGCAAGUCGAACGGUGAAGCGCCUUCCUUUUUGGUGGGUGUGGAUGAGUGGCGAACGGGUGAGUAACACGUGAGUAACCUGCCCCCUUCUUCUGGAUAACCGCAUGAAAGUGUGGCUAAUACGGGAUAUUCUGGGUCUGUCGCAUGAUGGGUCUGGGAAAGAUAUUGUUUCGGUGGGGGAUGGGCUCGCGGCCUAUCAGCUUGUUGGUGGGGUGAUGGCCUACCAAGGCGGUGACGGGUAGCCGGCCUGAGAGGGUGUACGGUCACACUGGGACUGAGACACGGCCCAGACUACUACGGGAGGCAGCAGUGGGGAAUAUUGCACAAUGGGCGCAAGCCUGAUGCAGCGACGCCGCGUGAGGGAUGGAGGCCUUCGGGUUGUGAACCUCUUUCGCCAGUGAAGCAGGCCUGCCUCGUUUGUGGGUGGGUUGACGGUAGCUGGAUAAGAAGCGCCGGCUAACUACGUG
Molecule: ribosomal RNA, 494 nt
Filed under: uncultured bacterium
Lineage: Bacteria
Description: partial 16S ribosomal RNA
Rfam family: Bacterial small subunit ribosomal RNA
Source: RNAcentral